CAGGCUUGCCCCUUGUUUAAUUAAUCCUAAUGGAUAAAUAAAUUUUAAGAUAAGCAUAGAGAAAGAUAUUUUGAGUGAAGUGUAGGGCAACUAUAUGAUGCACACAUAUUUCAUCUACAUGUGUAAUAAAGUCACAAAGGAGUGUUAGACAUUUAAUGAAUUUUGAUUUAUUCGAUACGCAUGAAAAGGAAUAGAACUCUUGCAAGUAAGUUCCACUAUUCCACACUUAGAAAAUUUCCCAACUUAAGUAGCAACAUCAUAUAUCUUCAAAUUCAUUUCUUCUAGUUAUAGAAUGUCUGUGUAAAGUGGAAAAAAAACGAAAGAAAAUCUAUCUUUUUUCUCAAACUGUGACGUUUCAUUACAUAAGAAAGGUUGAGUUUGGUUAUUUCUAUAAAUAAAAACAAUAUGUAUUGCCCCCUACCCCUCAAGGUAUGGGAGUUUAUUAGUCAUUUUCUUUAUGAUAACAACAAGAGAAUGUGGUCCACUUUACCGAAUCUAGCCACUCUGAAAAAUCAGAAGGUUGCUUCUUAGAAACUUUUCUUUAAAUAAUUAUUGUCUAGGAAAUCAAGAACUCCGUGGCUAGAAGAAUUAAAAUAUUAGUUAAAAUUGGAGAACCAUAUGUUGUAUUACACAAUAUAAUAAAGAAAUAGAAGAAAAACUUGAUGAUUGAAACAUUAUAGUGUAUCCAAUUACCAAUACCUGCGGUCCAGAAGUUUCAUUAAAAAUAUUCUUCGGCAUCCUCCGUAUGUGAAAAUAAUACUGAAAUUUUCUAUGGGUCAACUUCUAAAAAUAUCAUUUUAAUUUUCCUAUUUUGAUGGUAAUAAACAAAAAAAAGAUCACUUGUAUUUUUUUUCAUUAGGAGAUGAGUUGCAUUUUAAGCUAGUUUAUAGUAAAUUGCCUCCGCAAAUGAUGUACAAGUUCUUACAAAUUCCAAAAAAAUGGUUGCCAUAGAAAGCAAAGUGUACAAAUUACAAUAAAUUAAAAUUUGAAUGUGUGCUGGUUUUUAGCUUCAUUUUUUCUUUGGUGGGUGGGAAUUGUGGGGAGGUGUUCUAAGAUAAAAAUGGACCACUCAUGAGAUAGUGGUGGGGUGCUACCGUGCUAAGUACCUAUAAAUUUUUAAUUAGAGAUUUUAAGUUUGAAUUUAGAUAAUGAAAAUCAUUUAUAUAAAGUGUUUUAUUCUUGAAGUAGAACUUUUCGAUGUGAAUCUAAAUUAGUUAAAUUUCAAAAAAACAAAUAUUAAACAUAGGGUGAAAAAAAGCACAAAAUAGAUAUUAGAAGUGUUGUGAAGUAAAAUAGAAGAUUCUAAAACUAGACUUGCUUUGUUAUCUAGAUAUAUUUAGAAACAUGCCGACAAUUUCAAGUUUGUGGAGAAGUAGAGAGGAAAAGGUCAAUGCAUAUGCAGUAAUGUGAAGGAGUCUAUCAAGUCUAAAGACUUUAAAGACUAUGGGGUAUGGGCAAUGAACCUUUUUGCAGGUAUGGUUGGAAUUUAAUUAAGCAUGUUCUGGUUUGGAUUUGUUUUUUACUUUCAAGCAUAAAUAAGAUUGAUAUAUUUUAAUAUUAUAUUAUUAAAUUAAUUAUUUUUCCAUUAUUUUUUCCAUUACAUAGAAGUAUGAAGUUAAGGACCACCAACGGAUGUGGUGCAUCAGGUAUGCAAUAUUUGUUCCUUCCUUAAUUAGAGGUCUUGAGUUCAAGUCCUAAAUAUGUAAAAUCCUUUGAAGGAAAUGCUUCCCCAAAUGUGAUCCUAUGUGACGAGAAUCCGAAAUAGUCAAAUUCUAAUGCGAUACUCAGACACCAAAUAGGAAAAAAAAGAGAAUGAAGUUAAGAACGACCUAGGAUAUAAUCAUAAUUUCACAACUAACAUAAUGACAUUUUAGAUAUUUUCCUAUGACUUCGAUGUAUGUUGGGUCCAUUUAUCUCAUCAUUCUGGACAAUUUAUAACCUUUGAACAUAGUUAUCCACGUGGCUAUGAGGAGCCAAACAUUAUUUGGUAACACAUUUAGGAAUUGUUUGGUACAAAAAUUAAUAACAUAAAGAUUAGUAACGUUGAGGUUAGUAGUAUAAAAAUUACUUUUUAUCAACUGUUUGGUUCAUUGUUUCCUACCUCAUCUGGUGUUUGAAUUAAAAUUCUACAAAAAGCUUCUUUCCAAUUAUACUAUAGGAUUAUUAUGAGAUUUUCUAUUUCAUGUAAUUGGGUAGAUAAUUGACGGACAAUAUAUCUUUUAUGGCCUUCUAACUAGCUAGGAGAAGAACAAUUUUAUUGUCAUGUUUGCUAUUUGCUUACUUGAAUUAUUUGACGGUAAAUAAUUGCCGUCUUAAUAAAUUGAUCUCUCACAAAAUCGUCAAUUUUCUAUUUAAAAAAGAUAGACCAUCUACUUUUAAAAUUGAAAAGAUGGUAAACAAUAGUAAAAUCGAAUAAACCAUCUAUAUUUACACGUAAAAAUGGCAAGGUGUAAUUUUAGUAUAUAUGCAGCUUUAUAAAUUGUUCAAAAAACACGUGACUUUAAUUCAUUGCUUCAUCCUUCCAUGAGUAAUUUUCAAGGGUAACUUACAGAAGUUUUACUAGCUAGCUUAUGACCUAAUUACUUAGAUUCAGGUUAGUUUAUAAUAUUAUGAAUCUUAUCAAUUUUUGGAUUUCAGAUACAUGUAUUUGACGUAUUCAGAUGUGUUCAAAUGCAUAUGUCUUGGAUACAUGAGGUCAAAAUUAUGUGUCAUUUGUUCUAGAUACAUUGUAUCCAAGUAGAUUCACAUGUAGCUGACUUUUUCGCUUGCCUCUCUCCCUGCUUCUUGUAUCUAGAUAUAUGUUCUAGUUUGAUUCGCAUGUAUCUGGGGAUCUCGCUCGCCUCUCUCUAAUUUAGUGUAUCUGAUAGCAAAAAUACAUGUAUUUAGGUGUAUUUGAUUUGAAAUUUGAUAUGAAAUUAUUAACUAGUGAGAUAAUAUUUCCAAACAUGGAGAAAAUUAGUAAAUAUUGUAGAAAUAUUUGUCUAAUUACUAUUUUUUUCAUUUUUCAACUGUGUUAUGGGCUGUAAACAGAUCUUUCCACAUCUAGUUUUUAAAAGGACAAAUUGUAUGAUAUAGCAAACUAUUAAUUCAAAUUAAAUGCUAUAGCCAUAGUUUCUUUUAUGGGAAAAUUGUAUGAAAUAACAAACUAUUAAUUCAAAUUAAAUGCUAUAGUCAUAGUUUAUUUUAUUUGUAAUUCGCAACAAACAUCCCAUUUUUUUUGCAUCUGGUUCGGUAUACGAUUAACCAUUCGGUAUACAAAUGUAUAAAAUGCGUUUGUGUUUGUAUAAAGCGAGAGAAAAGUGUAUAUACAAAUACAUAUACAUAUAUUUUUGUCCUAUACACUUAUAAUUAUACAAAUACAAAUCUUAUUAUACAAAUUACAAUGUAUAAAUGAAUUUAUACAAAACUGAACAAUUUGUAUAAAAUUGGAUGUAUCUAGCGAAUUAUACAAAUCAAAAACUCCAUAGCAAACAUAAAAUUUGCUAUGAAGCACAAUUAUGCAAACUACAGCUAUAAUAUACAAAUAUAAUUUUUAUGUUUGGUGAAAGUUGCCCAAAAUAAAAUAAUAAAUCCCCAAAAUAAAUGCAAGACUCUGAAGGCAUGCACUAAAAACAUGUAGACCAUUGAAGAAGUGUCGAUGAACUUGAGCUUAAUCAUCUCAAGGGAAAUGAAUUUAUUGAGUUAGUUGGGGUGGAUAUGAGGGAAAAUUUUAAUUAAGAUAAAAACAUAUCCAUAUAGAUUGUAGACGCCACAUAAGAUAAUAAGGGUAAGAACAUGAGAGUUAAUCGUCUAAAGAAAAAUAUGUACUCAAAGUUAAAUGAUAAAGGAAAAAUAUACUUUUGGGUGGGGUGGGGGGGGUGUUAAAAUAACCUUUUUUGGAUAGUACAAAAGCAAAUAUGAUCCUUUUUCGUAUAAUUAUAGAGGCUAACACCCAGAUUACAAAACAAGAAUACAAAAGAUUAUGAAAAAAUUUCAAAAAUAUACAAUUACCUAACUUACAUCGCAAGAAUAUAGCCCACAACAUAAUUGGUAUACAAUAUCAUAUAUUCGAUAUACAAUAAAUAUAUAAAGCUUUCAUAUUUUAUUUUCUACAAAAUAUUUAAAAACUUGAUAUACCAUAUUAUACACUCAGUAUACAUAUGUGACCAUUUAUUUCACUCCGAACAACCCAAGCAAACAAAUUAGACUGUCGCUAGCACCAAUUGCUUCAAUAAUCACCCUCAUCUGAGAAACAACCAAUGACUUAGCUAUCACCAAAUUUCUAUAGUAAUAAAAUCACAUUUAAGAAUGCCAAAGAUGAACAAAGAAUAAAAUGUGCAAAGAAAAGGCGCGUGUGUGUGUUUUGAGUGUGUAGGGAAGAGAGAUGAAAAAGAGAUAUCAAUAUGUUUGUGGCUAAAUUUGGUAAAGUCUAAAUUUAAAAACUUGCACAUUUUGACAAUGUGUUUGGAUCAAUUAUACUUUCAAAUAAUUAUCUUAAAAAUUAAUAUUUAUUGAAAAUAAAAUGCUAUGUAAUUAAUAAAGAGCGAUUUAUCUCCUUUAAUAUAUUUAUUUGAUAUGAAUUCAAAUUAAUCGAACUACUAAUUUUCGAUGUUGAAUGCCUAAAAGAAAGACUAUAGCCUAAUGAAUGGGUAAUGAAACUUAUUCAGACCUAAGCUGCAAAACCCCUAGAAGUUCCAUUACUUUGGAUUGAUAGAUGAUCACAUAUUGAUUUCCAAAGGGACCACCUCCUACUUUUUGUUUGUCUACUUUGUUUUUAUUUUUAGAUCCCAAUUUUCAAUUGGAUAUUCUUAUCCCACUUCUUGUAAAGUCAUCCCACAUUUUCUCUUUGGGUUAACCAAGUCAUGCCAAGAGAUAUUUCUUACUCGUAAAUUUUACUUAUACAUUUGAAUUAUUAUUUAUUUUAAUUAAUUUGACUAAUUUGUUUUCAUCAUAACGUGCAUGCAGGCUUUGACAACAUAAAUUAUUCUAGCUCAUUUUACAUAACUAGUUUUUCGAUACGUG
This 5001-nucleotide long non-coding RNA is filed under the name Solanum tuberosum (potato). Its description in RNAcentral is "long non-coding RNA (STUB_LNC008506)". The record is from RNAcentral. Lineage: Eukaryota; Viridiplantae; Streptophyta; Magnoliopsida; Solanales; Solanaceae.